Molecule: long non-coding RNA, 500 nt
Organism: Rhea pennata
Lineage: Eukaryota; Metazoa; Chordata; Aves; Rheiformes; Rheidae
Exons: 2
Source: RefSeq, a predicted model, not a curated record
GAGGCGCGGGGGGAGGCGGCGGCGCCGCUGCAGCGGGGCGACGCGACGCGACGGCGAGGCCGCAGCGAGAUGUCGGCGGGCGCUCAGCUGCUCCCCGGCUGCCGUGCUUCUGGCUAACCAGCACCAGUUCUUCAGUGGCAAGCUUUAUGUCCUCCUCUAGUAGCUAAAGCUGCCAGUUGAAGAACUGUUGAAUGUAGCCACUCUCUUCUUGUCGCUGGGCUGUUGGACAUCAGCUAGAUCCGUGUCCUGAACAAGAUGAGAUGAGCGAGUCUGCAGCAUCUGAUGAAUUAACCCUUCUGCGGGCUGAGGAUGGGCCCUGCUGGGAAGAAGAACUCUCCUUGCAGCCUCCAAACCGAGCCUCGGCAGUGGGAAUGCUGGAAAGCCGUACUAGCAGGGCUGUGAAAUGGGGAGUGGGGUCACCACCAUGGGGUGACGCUUAACCAAGAGAACUAGAGAAGACCGUGACAGGCAUAUUAAACUCUGUUUUACUGUGCAGUACC